This 207-nucleotide long non-coding RNA is filed under the name Elaeis guineensis (African oil palm). Its description in RNAcentral is "long non-coding RNA (EGUI_LNC014244)". The record is from RNAcentral. Lineage: Eukaryota; Viridiplantae; Streptophyta; Magnoliopsida; Arecales; Arecaceae.
ACACAUGGAAAACAUCAGGAAAAGAAUCCAAGAGUUGCUUCAUGCAGAAAGACUCUUCGAAGAAUUUUUAUUAUUUUUUCGAUGUAUCGCGAGCCUUCUUUGGGUGGCAUUUUUCUCCACCCUUGAUCAAUGCACAUUGGCCAUCCAAGGGCCCACAAAGGAGGCAUUAACCUGAAGAUGGCAUGGAGAAAAAUCAUAUAUGGGGGC